AGUGAACGCUGGCGGUAGGCCUAACACAUGCAAGUCGAACGGCAGCACAGUAAGAGCUUGCUCCUACGGGUGGCGAGUGGCGGACGGGUGAGGAAUACAUCGGAAUCUACUUUUUCGUGGGGGAUAACGUAGGGAAACUUACGCUAAUACCGCAUACGACCUACGGGUGAAAGCAGGGGAUCUUCGGACCUUGCGCGAUUGAAUGAGCCGAUGUCGGAUUAGCUAGUUGGCGGGGUAAAGGCCCACCAAGGCGACGAUCCGUAGCUGGUCUGAGAGGAUGAUCAGCCACACUGGAACUGAGACACGGUCCAGACUCCUACGGGAGGCAGCAGUGGGGAAUAUUGGACAAUGGGCGCAAGCCUGAUCCAGCCAUACCGCGUGGGUGAAGAAGGCCUUCGGGUUGUAAAGCCCUUUUGUUGGGAAAGAAAAGCAGCAGGUUAAUACCCCGCUGUUCUGACGGUACCCAAAGAAUAAGCACCGGCCAACUUCGUG
Molecule: ribosomal RNA, 492 nt
Filed under: uncultured bacterium
Lineage: Bacteria
Description: partial 16S ribosomal RNA
Rfam family: Bacterial small subunit ribosomal RNA
Source: RNAcentral